GUCUUUUUGAUUAUAAUUUAAAGUCUAACCUGCCCAAUGAAUAUUUAAAUGGCCGCGGUAUUUUGACCGUGCAAAGGUAGCAUAAUCAUUAGUUUUUUAAUUGAAAGCUAGAAUGAAAGGUUGGACGAAAAAAUAACUGUCUCAGUAUAAUUUAAUUAGAACUUUAUUUUUAAGUUAAAAAGCUUAAAUUUAUUUAAAAGACGAGAAGACCCUAUAGAGUUUAAUAUUUAUAUAAAUUUUAUAUUUUAUAAUUUAAAUAAUUUAUAUAAAUAUUUUGUUGGGGUGAUAAUUAAAUUUAAUUAACUUUAUUUUUUUUUUACAUUAAUUUAUGAAUUUUUGAUCCAUUUUUGAUGAUUAUAAGAUUAAAUUACCUUAGGGAUAACAGCGUAAUUUUUUUAGAGAGUUCAAAUCGAAAAAAAAGAUUGCGACCUCGAUGUUGGAUUAAAGUUAAUUUUUGGUGUAGAAGCUAAAAUAUUAAGUCUGUUCGACUUUUAAAACUUUACAUGAUCUGAGUUUAAACCGGUGUGAGCCAGGUUGGUUUCUAUCUUUAAAUAAUUAAAUAUUUUAGUACGAAAGGACCAAAUAUUUGUAAUAAUUAUUAUAUUUUUGAAUAU
Molecule: ribosomal RNA, 614 nt
Filed under: Ochthebius semisericeus
Lineage: Eukaryota; Metazoa; Arthropoda; Insecta; Coleoptera; Hydraenidae
Description: partial 16S ribosomal RNA
Rfam family: Bacterial large subunit ribosomal RNA
Source: RNAcentral